AUACGGAGGGUGCAAGCGUUACUCGGAAUCACUGAGCGUAAAGGACGCGUAGGCGGGUUGGUAAGUCAGGUGUGAAAUCCUACAGCUUAACUGUAGAACUGCACUUGAAACUACCAACCUAGAGUAUGGGAGGGGGAGAUGGAAUUAGUGGUGUAGGGGUAAAAUCCGUAGAUAUCACUAGGAAUACCGAAAGCGAAGGCGAUCUCCUGGAACAUAACUGACGCUAAGGCGUGAAAGCGAGGGGAGCAAACAGGAUUAGAAACCCGAGUAGUCC
This 274-nucleotide ribosomal RNA is filed under the name uncultured bacterium. RNAcentral describes it as "partial 16S ribosomal RNA". It matches the Rfam family "Bacterial small subunit ribosomal RNA", at positions 523 to 796 of the family's 1533-position model. The record is from RNAcentral.